UGGUGGAGUGAUUUGUCUGGUUAAUUCCGUUAACGAACGAGACCCCAGGCUGCAAAAUAGGAACGUCUAUAAUUUUAUAGUUGAGUCUUUCUUUGAGCGACAUGUAGUUUCUAAGCUACAGGAAGAAUGGGGCAAUAACA
RNAcentral lists this ribosomal RNA (140 nucleotides) under uncultured eukaryote. RNAcentral's name for it is "partial 18S ribosomal RNA". It matches the Rfam family "Eukaryotic small subunit ribosomal RNA", at positions 1299 to 1458 of the family's 1831-position model. The record is from RNAcentral.